RNAcentral lists this ribosomal RNA (468 nucleotides) under uncultured bacterium. RNAcentral describes it as "partial 16S ribosomal RNA". It matches the Rfam family "Bacterial small subunit ribosomal RNA", at positions 28 to 507 of the family's 1533-position model. The record is from RNAcentral.
GACGAACGCUGGCGGCGUGCUUAACACAUGCAAGUCGAACGGAAAGGCCCUUCUUUUGUGGGGUGCUCGAGUGGCGAACGGGUGAGUAACACGUGAGUAACCUGCCCUUGACUUUGGGAUAACUUCAGGAAACUGGGGCUAAUACCGGAUAGGAGCUCCUGCUGCAUGGUGGGGGUUGGAAAGUUUCGGCGGUUGGGGAUGGACUCGCGGCUUAUCAGCUUGUUGGUGGGGUAGUGGCUUACCAAGGCUUUGACGGGUAGCCGGCCUGAGAGGGUGACCGGCCACAUUGGGACAGAGAUACGGCCCAGACUCCUACGGGAGGCAGCAGUGGGGAAUAUUGCACAAUGGGCGGAAGCCUGAUGCAGCAACGCCGCGUGAGGGAUGACGGCCUUCGGGUUGUAAACCGCUUUCGCCUGUGACGAAGCGUGAGUGACGGUAAUGGGUAAAGAAGCACCGGCUAACUACGUG